This is a small nucleolar RNA of Eutrema salsugineum, 110 nucleotides long. It matches the Rfam family "Plant small nucleolar RNA R71". Rfam says of the family: R71 is a member of the C/D box family of snoRNAs containing the C (UGAUGA) and D (CUGA) box motifs. Multiple nearly identical copies of this snoRNA have been identified in Arabidopsis, and it is thought to function as a 2'-O-ribose methylation guide for 18S ribosomal RNA. The record is from Rfam. NCBI's taxonomy places the organism in Eukaryota, Viridiplantae, Streptophyta, Magnoliopsida, Brassicales, Brassicaceae.
AAUCCAUGGUGUGGACAAUCUCUUUGGUAUUCUCUAAAUCUUCCCCAAGCAUCGUAAAGAUCUUCGUCUUUCUUUUGUUCGAAAGUUUGUAUCUUGUUCCUUAAGAGAUU